AUGGCGUCGCAGGCGAUCGAGGUGAACAGGGAGGGCGCGGAGGUGUACCAUGGUGCGGCGCUGUGUGCCGAGAAGGCGGUGGAGCUGUUGGCAGAGACCAACAUGCCACUGGGCCUGCUGCCGCUAGCGGACAUCGUGGAGAUCGGGAGGCUAGUCUCGUAUGCCACCGAGGUGACGGCCUUUGUCGAAGACCGCAAGAUGAAGCGCAUCACGGGGGUUAAGAGCACGGAGCUCCUCAUCUGGGUCACCGUCAGUGACAUGUACAUCGACAAGAACGACCACUCAAAGAUCAGUUUCAAGACGCCCACCGGACUGCGAAGGACCUUCCCUGUCUCCGCCUACGGAAAGGAGGACGACAACAAGCACGACGUGGCCAAAUAA
Molecule: ribosomal RNA, 381 nt
Filed under: Triticum aestivum (bread wheat)
Lineage: Eukaryota; Viridiplantae; Streptophyta; Magnoliopsida; Poales; Poaceae
Description: partial small subunit ribosomal RNA
Source: RNAcentral